AACGAACGCUGGCGGCGUGCCUAAUACAUGCAAGUCGAGCGAACAGAAGAGGAGCUUGCUCCUCUGACGUUAGCGGCGGACGGGUGAGUAACACGUGGGCAACCUGCCCUUAAGACUGGGAUAACUCCGGGAAACCGGGGCUAAUACCGGAUAAUUGAAAGAACCUCCUGAUUCUUUUAUGAAAGGCGGCUUCGGCUGUCACUUAAGGAUGGGCCCGCGGCGCAUUAGCUAGUUGGUGAGGUAACGGCUCACCAAGGCAACGAUGCGUAGCCGACCUGAGAGGGUGAUCGGCCACACUGGGACUGAGACACGGCCCAGACUCCUACGGGAGGCAGCAGUAGGGAAUCUUCCACAAUGGGCGCAAGCCUGAUGGAGCAACGCCGCGUGAGUGAUGAAGGCCUUCGGGUUGUAAAACUCUGUCUUCUGUGACGAAAAAGUACGUGAGUGGAAAGCUCACACCCUGACGGUAACAGAGGAGGAAGCCACGGCUAACUACGUGCCAGCAGCCGCGGUAAAAC
RNAcentral lists this ribosomal RNA (518 nucleotides) under uncultured bacterium. RNAcentral describes it as "bacterial SSU rRNA". It matches the Rfam family "Bacterial small subunit ribosomal RNA", at positions 29 to 526 of the family's 1533-position model. The record is from RNAcentral.